RNAcentral lists this long non-coding RNA (1634 nucleotides) under Sus scrofa (pig). RNAcentral's name for it is "lncRNA (ENSSSCG00025035935.1, ENSSSCG00055002355.1, ENSSSCG00065015823.1)". The record is from RNAcentral. Lineage: Eukaryota; Metazoa; Chordata; Mammalia; Artiodactyla; Suidae.
CUUUUCAUUGUAAGCUUCACUGCAGUGCAUAUCCUCUCAUUAUAUCUUGCACCUGUUAGUUUUUACAUGACUAUAUCACCACAGGACUGAGGAUAUAUUUGCCCUAAAAUCAGAAAUGUUCUUCGUAUUUCCUCCUCAACCACCUGUUUCUCAGCUGCCGAGGUCUAAGUGGUGACAGGAUGGCAGUCUUUUGCAUUUUACAGUAGCACAUCUACCAGUGAGCACAAAUCAAACUGCAAAGAAAGGGGAUUGGAGCUGAGAUCCAGAAAACCAAAGAGGUUUUUGUAAAGGCAACAGAAAAACUGAGAAAGAUAAGUGAUAACUAUGGGCUGAGAAUUAUAGUGAAGAGUUAAAUCUGAUUUGAGUCUACAACAAGCUACAGGUAACAUGUAUAUGGCAAGGGUAAAAUACUAUUCUCUGUGGAAAUUAUGGAAACUUUUAAAGAAACAUACCCAAUAGAAAUAUUUCUCAUCAGGAAUAAUAUCAACACUAUACUUUUAUCUUUGAUCAUGGAUCAUUUCUCUUAUGAUCAGCCCCCACUGAUCCACAGUUGAAGGUCAUGUCCUUUUAUCAAGGCCUUUACCAUUAAUUGCAGAUUAUCCUGCAAUUCUUUGCUUCUAAAUUUGCAGUUUACCAUGAAUUGCAGAUUAUUUUACAAUUCUUUGUUUUCAAGUUUGCACCAGUUUGAAAAUAGAGUCUUAGCUAAUGUCUAAAGGGAUUUUCUUUCCUUCAACAUGCUUUAGAAAUCGCUGAUGAUUUGUUUUUCUUUACUCCAGAACUCUCCAUUUGGGUGGCCCUGUGGCUCUGUGUCUCUCUGUAUGCUCUUUGCUGGGAGCCCCUUUAGCUCUGGAAAUGCUAGCUGUAGCCUCUAUAAACUGCUGUUUCUCCAAUCUGCCUGCUAUCUUCUACUCAGCUGCCUCACAGCCCUAUGGUAAUGGGAAAGAUUUUCGCAGUUCCUGGCUAUUUUCAAGAAAAGAGGAGUAAUUUGCAGAUUAGUCUGUGAUAAAAAAAAAUAGUCUGCCUCACUGCAGAUACUCUGUGCUAAGGUUUUAAAGGUUGUGGUUAGAGACCUAUGGGUCCUGAAAUCUGCAAAGAAUAUGAAUCCCUGCUUGAAAAAUUUUUAAUGAGUGAUAACUGGGUUUUGACAUAUGACACACUUCUUAUUUUAGAUCAUGAUGAAAACAUCUUUGAAAUUACUCUUUUAUUUAUUUAAUGUAUAAGUUACUUUAAUGUAUAAACUAUUUAAGUAUCCAACUACUGGCAGAUAUUUGAGCUUUUACUCUUUAGAUUUUCAUGCUCACUGUUGUGGGUAUCUAUGUUGAAGUGAACCAUUGAAACAAUUGGAUAAGAAUUGUGAAUGAAAGGAGUUCCUGUCGUGGUGCAGUGAUUAAUGAACCCAACUAGUAUCCAUGAGGAUGCGGGUUCCAUCCCUGGCCUUUCUCAGUGGGUUGGGGAUCUGGUGUUGCUGUGAGCUGUGGAAUAGGUCACAGACACGGCUCAGAUCCUGUGUUGCUGUGGCUGUGGUAUAGGCUGGCAUCUGGAGCUCCAAUUCAACCCCUAGCCUGGGAACCUUCAUAUGCCUCGGGUGUGGCCCUAAAAAGACAAAAAAAAGAAAGAAAGAAAGAAAAAAAAAA